CUUCCCUGUCUCAUAUAAAAAUCAAUUGGCAUGGGAUCACAAUAUAGACUGAAGACGACUUGACCUCAGUCUUUAGCCUAUAUCGCUUCUGGCCUCUCUGUUUCCUUCCUUUCUGGCCUGAGACAUGCCUCCUAUCGUGCUUUUCCUCCCUGCCUCCUACUUUAUGAAAUAUUUUUCAUUGGUCUACAAUUAACUCAUAUCUCUAUCUAUAUUUCAAUAGAGCUUCUUCCUCGCUAUAAUUACAGUCUUUAUAAGUAACAGAACAUCUAAAAGAAAAAUAAUUACAAACAAAUAUUUCAAACAUACAAUUCUUUAACACUAGUACCAAAUCAAACCUUCAUUCACCAUAUGGAUUCCUCCAUUGUAUUCGAUCUGAAACAAGUAAAUACACGUAAUAAGCUUCAAAUUUCACAAGCUUAUGUUCAAUAUCAUAUAUUUUUGUAUGAUCAACCUAAUAGCAGAUCAAAAGUUUCUCUGUCCAUGACUUCAAUUAACAACAAAAAUAUUCACAAAGAUGAGGAAGUGUUUAUAUCUAAUGGUAUAAGUCAUAGUAAUCAUGAGAGUAUAUCUCUCCAUAAAUUUAGAGACUUCUAACCAAGCAAAUUGUAGUCCUAGCUACUUGCUUGUAUUUUGGCAUUUAAUCUCGGAGAUAUGUAUCCUUACAACUCCAUUGAGAAAAUCACUUUCUACAACUUUAGAGAAUUGAAUCAAUUAUAGAUUUAUAGAUUCCCUAGGACGCUUUGUUUAAGGGUUUAAACUCAGAAAUUGAUUACCUUAUACAUAUAUCAUUCUUUGAUCCUAAUAUAUCAUUCUCUUUAUUGAUAACAUUCAAUGGUCACAAAAAUAAGGACUUCGUUAAAAAAAAUGAAUCUAGUUGUUAGAAAGGAAAAACUUUUACAUGCAUAUAAGUUAUAAGCAUCUAAUUAAUCGGCAUUUAACACCAUCCUAUAAAGAUUAAUUUCAUCAAAAGAAUUCAAGUUCACUUCUAACUUAUCUUCAGUUCAUAAUAUGAUUUGAGUGCUUAAAGCACUACAAUUUUCGUAAACUCUAAAUUCAACAAUACGAUCAUUCAUUUUUUUAUUUUUUUUAUUUUUGUGAAUUUAAACCAUUUUUUCCAAUUAAUUAAGAAAUCAUUUAAUAAAAUUUGAGUAUAUAUAACAAGAUUAAUAGAAUGUGUGAUGAAGAUAGGUUUGCAUUACCUUAUGCAUUGGAAUUCAUCUUCCCUUUGUUUUUUUUUUUUUUU
RNAcentral lists this long non-coding RNA (1243 nucleotides) under Vitis vinifera (wine grape). Its description in RNAcentral is "long non-coding RNA (VVIN_LNC000275)". Lineage: Eukaryota; Viridiplantae; Streptophyta; Magnoliopsida; Vitales; Vitaceae. The record is from RNAcentral.